Molecule: long non-coding RNA, 4337 nt
Filed under: Mytilus galloprovincialis (Mediterranean mussel)
Lineage: Eukaryota; Metazoa; Mollusca; Bivalvia; Mytilida; Mytilidae
Source: RNAcentral
CAAAAAUGUUAUGAUGAACCAUAACCAAUGUUGUCUUUUAGAACUUUUUACUGCCUUUGAUGUAAGCGCUCUCACCUGUACAAUUCGGUAACAUUAUUUUAACAAACCAUUAGUCCCACAGCUAAUAAGUCCGACGGCCCAUUGAUCCGAAAACACAUUAGUCCGACAACCCAAUAAUCCGACAACCCAUUACUCCGACAGAACAAUACUCUGUUGUUGUUGUUAUUGGUUUUGGUAGGCGACUUACUUAUUUAUAUAUACUCUGUAUAUAUAUAUAUUUUGUCUGUAUUAUAACAUAUAUGCUAUACCAUAUGUACAGAAUUGAUUCGAAAUCUGUAUACUAGAUAUAUAGUAUACGUAAGUACAAUUUCUGUAUAGGAAACUAUUCUGUAUAACUCAGUUAUGAAUGUUCGCGCCUUUCUGUAUAUACAAAAAUCGUUUAUGUAUUUAAAGAAUUCCAAAAAAGGAUAUACAUAAGUGUUUAUGUAUGGAUAAGGACCGUGCAGUUGCAAUAAGCAUGUGUUUAACUCCAAGGCACUGACACACAUAUCCCGCAUGAGAGUAGUUUGGUCUUUUUAGAUAAGAUUUACCUAUAAACUUAUGGCAUAUGCAGUGUCGGAAUAAUGGGAUGUCGGAUUAAUAAUAGGCUGUCGGAAUAAUUGGAUUUCGGAGUAAUGGGAUGUUGAAAUAAUGGUUGUCAGACUACCCGGAUGUCUUUAACAAUUCUUGCCAGAUUUUUUUUAUCAAACUUCUAACAUAGGAUUACAUCAGGAAUGUCUUUGACAAGUUCAAAAAUCAGUGCUGAUAAUUUAGUUUCAAAACAGUUUUAUGCCACUUGGAAACAUUUAUUAUAUAGAAAACUGCAUUGUUAUUACACUCAUUUGUACAAUUCUUGCCAGAAUGUUAUAAAAAUUAUUCCAUAGAUUUUUAAAAACCAAUGUGUUAGUCGAGAUAAUUAAUCAUGCCAAUCAUUGAUUUUUCAAAGAGUUAUACCCCUUGGGAAAAUUAGUUAUAUGAAAAUUGCUUUUUGAGCCUUUCAAUGCAUUUCACGGGUACAAAUCUUGCAGAAUACGCAUAACAUUUGCAUCAUGUGCAUAGUCUGAAACAUUCAUUACCCUAAGAAAUUUAUUAAAAGUGUUAAAGAAAAAAUAAUCAACCGUCACCAUCACAAUCAUCAUCACAAUCAUCAUCACAAUCACCAUCACCAUCAUCAUUCCCAUAACCAUCACCAUAACCGUCAAAUCACCAUCACUAUAACCAUCACCAUCAUUAUUAUCAUAACCACCACCAUAACCAUCAAAUCACCAUUACUAUCACCAUUACUAUCACUAUCACCAUAACCAUAAUCAUCACUAUCGCAGUAGCCCCCGCAGUAGCCACAGCCGACAACGAUUUGAAUAUGUAAAGUAUGCACUUAUGUACAUAUAAUCUAUUGUAGAAGUAUGGCAACCAAUUCCAGUAAUUGUGGUGUUGGUGAAAAUCUGCAAAUUAAUGAACAGUCAGUAGUAUGGUGUUCCAAAUGUGAUGAAGGACUCUGUGAAGAAUGUACAAAUCAUCACGCUGUUUCAAAUGCAUCAAAAAGCCAUGAAACCGUUUCUAUUGCCGAAUACAAAAAGUUACCGACCGAAGUCAUACACAGCGCUCAGACUUGCAAACUUCAUAAUGAGAAAUUCGAACUUUUCUGUAGAGAUCACGAUUGUCCAUGCUGUCAGAAAUGUGUGAAUUCUCACAACGAUUGUAAAAGUUUAACGGACAUAAAUGAACUCAUAAAGAACAUAAAAACCUCAAAUGCUUUUUACGAAUUCGAACAAACCCUGCUGGAAGUUGUCCAGAAUAUUAAACAACUCCGCACUAACAGGAGAGAAAAUCUAACAUUGCUAGAAAAUAAGAAGAGAGAAAUUGAAGCAGAAAUAAAACAAAGCAGGAUACAUAUAAACCACCACCUUGAUAAACUCCAGGAUGACUUGAUUAAAGAAUUAGUGAGAGUUGAACAAAAAGAAAAUAGAAAAAUAGAAAAAUUAUUGACUACUCUAAAAAAGAAGGAAUCAGAUAUCAUUGAGGUACAAGAAAACAUUGCCACUAUUAAACAGCAUGCGCCUGAACUUCAAACAUUUUUAACCAUGAAAAAUAUCGAAAAAGAUAUUGCAGUCGAAGAAACUUUUUUUCAAUCGAUUGCCACAAGUGGAUCCACAAAUCAAGUCAAUAUUUCAUUCCAGAUUAACAAGUCUUUACAGGAAAUCUCUGCCAUCGUACAGAAUUUUGGGGAAAUUAAUGUCAGUUCUGAUCCAUGUGAUUUUCCCAUCCAGAAACGGAAGGAUAGACAAGCCCAGAUUAUGGUAACCUUUCCAACCAGAAAUAUUGAUAACCUAACUCUGAAAUUACAGAAACGUAUCAAUACUGCAGGAUUGUCAAAUGUUCAUAGUUGUGCACUGCUUCCCGGCGAUAAGAUGGUAUUCUCCUGUACUAAGCAAUAUAAGAUAAAAGUAUUCAAGUCUGACGGAUCGAAAGAUUUCCAAAUUAAGAAAAUUGGUCCAACGUUUAAUGUGGUAUUUAUUGGUGAUGAUUCUAUUGCUGUAACUUCUGGCUUUGGAAAUCAGAUCAAUAUAAUCGACUUAAAGAAGCACAAACUGAAGAAAUCAAUACAAAUUGAUUCGUACAAUAGUGGAGUAGUUUACAAAGAUGGACAUUUGAUUUAUUGUGCUGGGAGUAAAGGACUACAAAUGAUCAGACUGAAUGACGAAACCAUUACAAAUGUUAGCAAUUCCGAACUCCGAGAUUAUGCGUACGUUACAGCAUUAGGUGAUAAACUGUUCUACACAGAUUAUAGAUAUCACAGGGUAACCUGCUGUGAUAACCAUGGUAUCACACUGUGGACGUUUGAGGAUUCAAGUGUUCUGAUGUCUCCAUUAGGUAUCUCUGUAGACAAUGAUGGUAACGUGUAUGUAGCAGGAAAUUAUACUCACAAUGUGGUCAUUAUCUCUCCUGAUGGACAACGCUACAGACAACUCUUAUCAAGCGAUGAUGGACUAAAAAACCCGUGGGGUCUGCAUUAUGACACAUCGACCAAUAAAUUGCUAGUUGCAAAUCGAUUCAAUGAAGCGUUUUUAUUUGACAUUAAAUGACAAUAAAAGAAGAUUGAUUUUUCCAAACUCGACUUACCGAAUUUAUUAUUUGGUAGAUCUGGAUUACUAACAAGGUUUUAAAUGAAUUAUUGCAUUACGUGUGAUUUGUUUUUUACAUUUCGUUGUCAGCUAAUUGUUGACUUAUGAGCUUCAAUGUCUCUAUAGUAUAUUUUGUCUCUCCUUUUGAGACCGGUAUAAAUAUGUGCAUGUUUCUUAUCGGUAUCAAUAUUCAUUCCUGUAUGGAAAAGUUGCAAUGAUUUAAAUGAGAUUGCCAUGAAUUCCAAAGAUUUUUGGAUUGAAAAAAAAAUACAUGGUAGUGGUUCAAAGUAGAGAAAAACAGGAUUUGGGUUAUCCAUCCAUCACACAAAAUCAAUACAUGCAUGUAGAAAACAAAACUAUUACAAAUCAAAGAAACAACAUUUCUUCAUCGCAAAGUCAUAAUGUUUCCUUCAACAUGGAACAACAACAAAUUUUUCACCUCGCUGCAAGUUAAAGACGUCCCCUAGUGCAGCUUUACUGGAAUUGUUUGCAGAAUGAACUUUAUAAGAUAUAACACCACAAAAUUGGCAUGGUCGAAUUAACAUAUUGGAGAAUAGUAUACGUAUUUAAAACAAAACAGGGUGUAUACUCAUACAGUACAUACACUUGUAGUCUUAUUAUUUAAUAUGCAUGAAGAAUUGAAGGUUCGGGCUAAUUAUCAAUGAGACAAGAACCCAACGACAAAGUAAAUCAAUUCAAUAUAAAUGAAGAAAAAGGCGAUUUCUACUGAACCUUUACUUGCAUUAAACAAAGAUUGUCGCUUAGUCAUUAUAACGCUACCAAUGAUAAUUAUGAGGUAAUAGCACAGAAAAUAGAGGAAUAUGCGAAUUAUUUUCGCUAUGGUGACCUGUACCAACCGGAACGAAUAUUUGUUUACGAGGAGAUAUUUAUCAAGAGCCAUCGCAAAGUUUGUUUCUCGUGGCGUUAGGCUGUAUAUUUAGGCAUACCGGUAUGCGCUUAGAUUUUCACUUCCCAUGAUGGCUAUACUGGUAAUGAGAAAUGGAAGAUUAAAUCCUCGAAAGGAAUAUGUGAGGUAUAAUUGGUUAAGUGACCCUUCCGGGAGCGGUCUUUUUUAUUUAUUGAAAUAGCUAGAGGAAUCUAUCCGAGAACAACCAAUAAGUUACAAUCUUUCUCCAGGUGGAAUGUUGUAGCCAUUUGGACAUGGCAGAUUGUUUU